AAAAAAGAGGUAUUUUAUACCUCUUGUAUUUAAAACCCAACUCUUUAAAAAUAUAUUUUUUUUUAAAAAAAAA
This 73-nucleotide unclassified non-coding RNA is filed under the name Gigaspora rosea. Its description in RNAcentral is "ITS1". The record is from RNAcentral. Lineage: Eukaryota; Fungi; Glomeromycota; Glomeromycetes; Diversisporales; Gigasporaceae.